Molecule: ribosomal RNA, 468 nt
Filed under: uncultured bacterium
Lineage: Bacteria
Description: partial 16S ribosomal RNA
Rfam family: Bacterial small subunit ribosomal RNA
Source: RNAcentral
GACGAACGCUGGCUGCGUGCUUAACACAUGCAAGUCGAACGGAAAGGCCCUGCUUUUGUGGGGUGCUCGAUUGGCGAACGGGUGAGUAACACGUGAGUAACCUGCCCUUGACUUUGGGAUAACUUCAGGAAACUGGGGCUAAUACCGGAUAGGAGCUCCUGCUGCAUGGUGGGGGUUGGAAAGUUUCGGCGGUUGGGGAUGGACUCGCGGCUUAUCAGCUUGUUGGUGGGGUAGUGGCUUACCAAGGCUUUGACGGGUAGCCGGCCUGAGAGGGUGACCGGCAAAAUGGGGACUGAGAUACGGCCCAGACUCGUAAGGGAGGCAGCAGUGGGGAAUAUUGCACAAUGGGCGGAAGCCUGAUGCAGCAACGCCGCGUGCGGGAUGACGGCCUUCGGGUUGUAAACCGUUUUCGCCUGUGACGAAGCGUGAGUGAAGGUAAUGGGUAAAGAAGCACCAGCUAACUACGUG